CUUCCCAUCCCGAACAGAGAAGUUAAGCCCUGCAGCGCCGAUGGUACUGGGGUCACACCCGGGAGAGUAGGUCGCCGCCACAU
RNAcentral lists this ribosomal RNA (83 nucleotides) under Algoriphagus sp. A40. Lineage: Bacteria; Pseudomonadati; Bacteroidota; Cytophagia; Cytophagales; Cyclobacteriaceae. The record is from RNAcentral.